UCGAUUUCUCGCAAUACAGAGGUUCGGGAUGCUUUGAAAUCUCUCAGCUCCCCUCCCCCUCGCAGCCCCCCCCCCCCCCCUCCCCCCCUUCUCCUCCGGCCUCCUCCCUCGCUCUGGAUCUUGUCUCCGCAUUUGCAUCUCAACUUUUUAAAAUAUAACACGUAUACUUUACGUAUAGGCUACGUGGAUGCUCCUCGACCGCUCCUAUAUAUCCUUACGCCGGGCUCGGCCCCCCUCUCCUCCAACGUCGGCUCCGGCCGUGGGGGCAGAAGCGAAGAUCCUCGUCCGCUCCGGGGGAUGCAGAGCCGUCUCCGUUCCUCCUUUGCUGUGGCGCUGAGGAUGCCAUUGACUCCAGGUGGAGAACACAAAGCUGGAAUCGAUGGAAGAAGAAGAAGGAAAGAAAGGAAACCAAAGUCUCCAAACUCAGGAGAUCUUUUAAUUGCUUACGAAUGUCUCCAUCUCAAAAAUUAUCCAAUUGAUGUUGUCGUGCUUUUUCUUUUUUUUUUCUCUUGACAGCCUGAAAUCUAAUUACUAGGCAAAUUUAAUGAUAAUGAAAUGAAGGCACUUUAGCAGAAAGCAACGGGGCCUUGUUAAUAUUUUCUCUGUCUCUGUCUUGUUCGUAUUAUUUAAGUCUAUUUAUUUUCACCACCUUCUUUCUUGCGGUAUAAAAGAAUUGCCAAAAAUAAAACUUGGAUUGCUGAAAAUGUUUGUGGUGGC
RNAcentral lists this long non-coding RNA (717 nucleotides) under Coturnix japonica (Japanese quail). RNAcentral's name for it is "lncRNA (ENSCJPG00005013989.1)". The record is from RNAcentral. Lineage: Eukaryota; Metazoa; Chordata; Aves; Galliformes; Phasianidae.